UACGUAGGGUGCAAGCGUUAAUCGGAAUUACUGGGCGUAAAGCGUGCGCAGGCGGUUUUGUAAGUCUGUCGUGAAAGCCCCGGGCUCAACCUGGGAAUUGCGAUGGAGACUGCAAGGCUAGAGUGUGUCAGAGGGGGGUAGAAUUCCACGUGUAGCAGUGAAAUGCGUAGAUAUGUGGAGGAACACCGAUGGCGAAGGCAAUCCCCUGGGCCUGCACUGACGCUCAUGCACGAAAGCGUGGGGAGCAAACAGG
This 253-nucleotide ribosomal RNA is filed under the name uncultured bacterium. Its description in RNAcentral is "partial 16S ribosomal RNA". It matches the Rfam family "Bacterial small subunit ribosomal RNA", at positions 524 to 776 of the family's 1533-position model. The record is from RNAcentral.